RNAcentral lists this ribosomal RNA (301 nucleotides) under uncultured bacterium. RNAcentral's name for it is "partial 16S ribosomal RNA". It matches the Rfam family "Bacterial small subunit ribosomal RNA", at positions 509 to 809 of the family's 1533-position model. The record is from RNAcentral.
CAGUCGCCGCGGUAAUACGGAGGGUGCAAGCGUUAAUCGGAAUUACUGGGCGUAAAGCGCACGCAGGCGGUCUGACAAGUCAGAUGUGAAAUCCCCGGGCUUAACCUGGGAACUGCAUUUGAAACUGUCAGGCUGGAGUCUUGUAGAGGGGGGUGGAAUUCCAGGUGUAGCGGUGAAAUGCGUAGAGAUCUGGAGGAAUACCGGUGGCGAAGGCGGCCCCCUGGACAAAGACUGACGCUCAGGUGCGAAAGCGUGGGGAGCAAACAGGAUUAGAUACCCGUGUAGUCCCUGUCUCUUAUCA